CUUAGCUCAGUUGGAUAGAGCAACGACCUUCUAAGUCGUGGGCCGCAGGUUCGAAUCCUGCAGG
Molecule: transfer RNA, 64 nt
Filed under: Escherichia coli
Lineage: Bacteria; Pseudomonadati; Pseudomonadota; Gammaproteobacteria; Enterobacterales; Enterobacteriaceae
Also listed under: 6 other names
Rfam family: tRNA
About the family: Transfer RNA (tRNA) molecules are approximately 80 nucleotides in length. Their secondary structure includes four short double-helical elements and three loops (D, anti-codon, and T loops).
Source: RNAcentral